GUCAUUCAUUUGGUAAGCAUUUCCUGAGUCUUACCGCACGUGCUAAGUGCUAAAGAUACAGCCGUGAACGAGGACACAGCCUCAGCGCUAAGGAUGGGAUAAACGAGCGAUGGGGGCGAUGAUCACGGCCCCCAUAUUCAGCUUGUAGUAAAAGCGCCCCGCCCUUGCCAUGCUCCUUCGUUGAUGAUCUCACCGUAUCUUCGCAACAAGCCUGCGAGGCAGGACCGUAUGAGCUCCUCUUCUGGAUAAACCCACCGAGGCACGGAGGUGUUCAGGAAAGUUACAAAGAUACUCCUUUAGAACUGAUGGAGCCAGGAUUUGGCUCAGCCACUCUGGUCAGAGGAGGAAGACAGACGAUAAACAACUUGCCUCUAAAAAUAAAUACAUUAUUACAAGCUGUGAUGACUUCUCCAAAAGACACGGAGAACUAUUUCGAGAGAAUGUAAAACAGUUCCCAAGAUCUGUGGUGUUUAUGCUUUCCUGUCUGGAAUCAGUGCUUGCCUCUCAGGCUUCCCAGAAGACACUGUGUGCCACCCUUGGGAGCUCAGUGGUCAAGGACACCCCGACACCAUCUCCGUCCGGGAAAUUCUGUUUUGCCGCUCCCAGUCUGAUUCUGCACUUCCUCUCUGAAUUUUGCUGUUGUAAGUAUAUAGCUCAACCAAUGGGAUGAGUUCCAGGGAGGGAGAUUUCAGUACAGAGAGCAAGACAUUCUAAAAGAGCCAUCCGAGCCACGGAAUGAAAUGAUGCAAAAGAUAGUGAGUCCCCCAUGGCCAGAGGUGUGUAAGGAGAAGCCAAGUGACCACUCCUGACGAGAUGGAAAAGGAGACAGUGCUUUACACAGGGGCCGUGGAAAGGCCUCGGGGAGCUCUCUUUGUCCCUUUGGCCUCCCUGGAAGUCUCAGGGCCCUAUGAGGAAAUAUGAGACUGACCGGCUGUCACCCCCACCACGUACCUUCUGAAAAGUGCCUGUUCAUCCCUCCCUGCAGGCUCGCUUUUCUGCCCUAGGCCAGAGGUUGCCCACGGGCAUUUUUUUGGUUUGACCAGGAAGCUACUGCUACUUUUAUUUUGUGAUCCCUCCGCGUCCAAACUAAAUCAGGCACUUCAUGUGAGAAAUGCGGAUUUUCAGUUUCUCUGUUAAACUCGGAUCCGGGAGCCUGGGCUCGCCUCCCAGCAGGGCGCCGUCUGCCUCCCCUGCUGACCUCCACUCCGGUUACCCACUCUCACCUUGUCUUAGACUGGCUUUCCCCCAAAGCAGAUCAUGACACCAGGAUCGGAGAGCAGGUAGUUUACUUAGGAGGUGAGCCUAGGACACAGGUGCCCUGGGUGGGGACACGGGCCAAUCAAGUUCCUAUUGUGGGCAGCUAGCAUUUAAUCUGGCAGGGGCUCGCUGUAAGAGCCAGCGCAGAACGUGCCUCAGUUUACCUCCUGAGCAGAGAGGGAAUGGAGUAUUUGUCCAGUCCUGGGUGCAGUCUGUUUGAGCAGCGAGAGAUCCGGUGGCCAGAGAAAGUCCCGAGGCAGAGAGAGGCUGAUCCUAGCAGGGGAGAGGGCAGAGCGCACUAAAAAGGUAAGUCCCACUCUUGGGGUUGCGAGGAGCUUCUGCUAUGCCUCUGUGACAUGUCUGGCUUUGCCACCUCUGCUCUAAGCCAUUUUGUCCAGCCCUGACACAAAAGGAAAUGGCCUGUCAUCCCCCUCCUAGUCUGACUCAAUGACUUCUCAAUGCUGGGUUGGCACGAUAAUGUGGGCUUGGGGGGCCAUGGAUCCAGGUAACUGCUUACCGUCCCGUGAUAGGAAAGCCACCUACCUUUCCCAGAUCCCACAUGGGGAUGACCUUCUGGAAGGCACCAAUGACUGUACUGGGUCCCCCCUUUUUUUUCUCCCCAUCCAGCCAGUCUUGCUUUUUCCUUCCAGAACAUUCAGCUUCUUCAAGUCCUCUGCUCUUUUGUCCACUCUAAGAUCAACCAGCUAACUGGUUUCAGUGGUGAGGUGCAGGGGAGUUAGCUGGGAGGGGGUGUUGACAAUACUUUUUCUAAGUCAAAUCUCCUGAUCUGGGUCAUAAAAAAAUGAUGCUUUUUAAGUACUUCCAUCUUUGCUGGCAUCCCUUUGCAGACCAGAGGAAGAGCAGCAGACACCAGGCAAUGGGCCUCGAUUGCCUCUGUGGCCCCACUUCCUGGAAUAAAAGGGCUGGCAAUACAUACAGACUGAAAGGGGCAAGUUCUCUGCCAGACUGUCCCUGGAGGGGAGUUAUUCUUCACCAUAAACCUGUUGUGUUCCGAGAAUCUGUCUUGUAAACUCUGUGCGGAUGGCUAUUGUUUUCAGAUUAGAGAGCCUGUUGAUAAUCUCUCUUCCAAAAAAUCUGUAGUUUGGGGCUUUUAAAUGUUGAGAACCAUAUCCCAAGCCCCUUGGGGAUUCAUUUUGCCAGAGGUGCCAGCCAAGACUUUUUUCCCCCUGGUCUUUGCACAGAACUGAGCAGAAUGUUCCCCCUGGGUACAGAACUGACAGGCAACCUUUUUGGGGUCAAGUAAACUUUUCCUGACCCUUUCUCAUCUUGUUCCUCUUCCUCAGAUGCUGUAGACUGAGAGUGGGUGACCCCAGCCCGUCAUAUGUGGCCAAGAGCUCCUGCCUUCUGGGAUGUAGUUACACUGAGCUGCUAUGUGUGGUGGGAACUGGGCAAAGACAGGAAGCCAAAUGCAUGGGCCUUGAGCCAUAUUGUUUAGAGCACACGGCUCCUGUGUCCCAGCUGAAGGGUCCUUGGGCAAACCACCGAGCUUCACUCUGUCCCUGUUUCCUCAUCUAUGAAAUGGAAAUUAUGUUGGCAUCUACUUCCUGGAGCUCUUAUAAAGGUAGGAUUUACAGGAAGAGCUCCUUGCCUGGCACAUUAGUAAGAGCCGAUAGAUGAGCUGUUUCUGUCUUUUGUCACCAUCAUCACCAUUACCAUCAUCACCGUCAUUGUCACCAUCGCCGUCAUCACCAUCACCAUCAACAUCAUCUGGUCAUUGUCAUCUGGGCUUCCAGAAACACUAACGUGGAGCAGCAGACCUUCCUAAGAACUGAGUCUCAUGUGUUGAGAAGCAAAGACCAGGAAACUGAGGCCCAAGUAGAGCUGUGAAGGGGAAGAAUCAAGACUGGACUACUGGAAUGCUGCAUUCCAGCCUCCUCAUCGGGGUUCUCUCUGUCCCUCUUCAGCGAGGAGGCAUCACCCCACUACAGGGUCAGGAUCUGACUAGAGAAUCGUGCCCUUUCAAAGCUACAAAGGACUUCAUCUAGCCCACUCCCGAUUCAGAAAUGCUAAUAAUGGGGGCACCCGG
Mustela erminea (ermine) is the source of this 3304-nucleotide long non-coding RNA. RefSeq lists it as uncharacterized. The record is from RefSeq and is a predicted model, not a curated record. The transcript has 5 exons. NCBI's taxonomy places the organism in Eukaryota, Metazoa, Chordata, Mammalia, Carnivora, Mustelidae.